Molecule: ribosomal RNA, 517 nt
Filed under: Myrothecium sp. M11-GM-123
Lineage: Eukaryota; Fungi; Ascomycota; Sordariomycetes; Hypocreales; Stachybotryaceae
Description: eukaryotic LSU rRNA
Rfam family: 5.8S ribosomal RNA (bases 144-297)
Source: RNAcentral
GGUCACGCGAACCUUACCUAUCGUUGCUUCGGCGGUCACGCCCCGGCGCCCUCGCGGCCCGGACCCAGGCGCCCGCCGGAGACCCCAAACCCCCGCUGUCUUUAGUGGUUUUCUCCUCUGAGUGACAUAAACAAAUAAAUAAAAACUUUCAACAACGGAUCUCUUGGCUCUGGCAUCGAUGAAGAACGCAGCGAAAUGCGAUAAGUAAUGUGAAUUGCAGAAUUCAGUGAAUCAUCGAAUCUUUGAACGCACAUUGCGCCCUCUGGUAUUCCGGAGGGCAUGCCUGUUCGAGCGUCAUUUCAACCCUCAAGCCCCCAGUGCCUGGCGUUGGGGAUCGGCGCGGCGUCCCUCCGGGGGCGCUGCCGGCCCCGAAAUUCAGUGGCGGUCUCGCUGUAGCCCUCCUCCGCGUAGUAGCACAACCUCGCGGCCUGGAGCUCGGCGGUGGCCAUGCCGUAAAACACCCCACUUCUGAAAGUUGACCUCGGAUCAGGUAGAAGCAUAUCAAUAAGGCGGAGAA